Molecule: ribosomal RNA, 267 nt
Filed under: uncultured bacterium
Lineage: Bacteria
Description: partial 16S ribosomal RNA
Rfam family: Bacterial small subunit ribosomal RNA
Source: RNAcentral
GUCCUAGCUGUAAACGAUGGGUACUGGGUAAGGGAGGUCCAAUGCCUUCCUUGCCGGAACAAAUGCGUUAAGUACCCCGCCUGGGGAGUAUGGUCGCAAGGCUAAAACUCAAAGGAAUUGACGGGGGCUCACACAAGCGGUGGAGCAUGUGGUUUAAUUCGAAGCAACGCGAAGAACCUUACCCGGGUUUGAAAUGUACGGAUUAGGAUGCUGAAAGGUGUCUGACGCCGCAAGGUGGAACGUACACAGGUGUUGCAUGGCUGUCGU